RNAcentral lists this transfer RNA (77 nucleotides) under Candidatus Microgenomates bacterium. Its description in RNAcentral is "tRNA-Ala". It matches the Rfam family "tRNA". Rfam says of the family: Transfer RNA (tRNA) molecules are approximately 80 nucleotides in length. Their secondary structure includes four short double-helical elements and three loops (D, anti-codon, and T loops). Further hydrogen bonds mediate the characteristic L-shaped molecular structure. tRNAs have two regions of fundamental functional importance: the anti-codon, which is responsible for specific mRNA codon recognition, and the 3' end, to which the tRNAs corresponding amino acid is attached (by aminoacyl-tRNA synthetases). tRNAs cope with the degeneracy of the genetic code in two manners: having more than one tRNA (with a specific anti-codon) for a particular amino acid; and 'wobble' base-pairing, i.e. permitting non-standard base-pairing at the 3rd anti-codon position. The record is from RNAcentral. Lineage: Bacteria; Candidatus Microgenomatota.
GGGCUUGUAGUUCAGCUUGGUAGAACACCUCAUUCGCAUUGAGGAGGUAGGCGGUUCGAGUCCGCCCAAGUCCACUA